This 492-nucleotide ribosomal RNA is filed under the name uncultured bacterium. RNAcentral's name for it is "partial 16S ribosomal RNA". It matches the Rfam family "Bacterial small subunit ribosomal RNA", at positions 29 to 507 of the family's 1533-position model. The record is from RNAcentral.
AGUGAACGCUGGCGGUAGGCCUAACACAUGCAAGUCGAACGGCAGCACAGUAAGAGCUUGCUCUUACGGGUGGCGAGUGGCGGACGGGUGAGGAAUACAUCGGAAUCUACCUUUUCGUGGGGGAUAACGUAGGGAAACUUACGCUAAUACCGCAUACGACCUACGGGUGAAAGCAGGGGAUCUUCGGACCUUGCGCGAUUGAAUGAGCCGAUGUCGGAUUAGAUAGUUGGCAAGGUAAAGGCCCACCAUGGCGACGAUGCGUAGCUGGUCUGAGAGGAUGAUAGGCCACAGUGGAACUGAGCAACGGGCCAGACUCCUACGGGAGGCAGCAGUAGGGAAUGUGGAGCAAUGGGCGAAGGCCUGACGGAGCAACGGCGCGUGAGUGAUGAAGGCCUUCGGAUCGUAAAACUCUGUUAUUAGGGAAGAACAAAUGUGUAAGUAACUAUGCACGUCUUGACGGUACCUAAUAAGAAAGCCACGGCUAACUACGUG